RNAcentral lists this long non-coding RNA (235 nucleotides) under Elaeis guineensis (African oil palm). RNAcentral describes it as "long non-coding RNA (EGUI_LNC037122)". The record is from RNAcentral. Lineage: Eukaryota; Viridiplantae; Streptophyta; Magnoliopsida; Arecales; Arecaceae.
GCCACUACCCUACUCCACUCUCUGCAAUGGAUUCUACAUGGCUCCACCACUCUCUGACAAGUCACGACAAUAGACACCACUCCACUCUCUGUAACAAAUUUCACAUGGCCCUGAAUGACCCCUGAUGCCACUACUCUCUAUAACAAACUCCGGGCGGCUUUGAAUAGCCCACUACCAGGCGGUUACAGACGUUGUUAUCAAUCAGUUACGCUCUCCGUCUAUAAAAAGGGACCCC